CAGUAGCCACGGGAAUACGGAGGGUGCAAGCGUUAAUCGGAAUUACUGGGCGUAAAGCGCACGCAGGCGGUCUGACAAGUCAGAUGUGAAAUCCCCGGGCUUAACCUGGGAACUGCAUUUGAAACUGUCAGGCUGGAGUCUUGUAGAGGGGGGUAGAAUUCCAGGUGUAGCGGUGAAAUGCGUAGAGAUCUGGAGGAAUACCGGUGGCGAAGGCGGCCAUCUGGCCUAAUACUGACGCUGAGGUACGAAAGCAUGGGGAGCAAACAGGAUUAGAUACCCCGGUAGUCCCUGUCUCUUAUAC
Molecule: ribosomal RNA, 301 nt
Filed under: uncultured bacterium
Lineage: Bacteria
Description: partial 16S ribosomal RNA
Rfam family: Bacterial small subunit ribosomal RNA
Source: RNAcentral